GUACUUGCUUUGGCAGAAUGUAUAUUAAAAUUGGAACAAUACAGAAAUUAACAUAACCCUGUGUAAGGAUGACAUGCAAAUUAACAAAACAUUCUAUAUUAUU
Molecule: small nuclear RNA, 103 nt
Organism: Sciurus vulgaris (Eurasian red squirrel)
Lineage: Eukaryota; Metazoa; Chordata; Mammalia; Rodentia; Sciuridae
Source: Ensembl